This 492-nucleotide ribosomal RNA is filed under the name uncultured bacterium. RNAcentral's name for it is "partial 16S ribosomal RNA". It matches the Rfam family "Bacterial small subunit ribosomal RNA", at positions 29 to 507 of the family's 1533-position model. The record is from RNAcentral.
AGUGAACGCUGGCGGUAGGCCUAACACGUGCAAGUCGAACGGCAGCACAGUAAGAGCUUGCUCUUACGGGUGGCGAGUGGCGGACGGGUGAGGAAUACAUCGGAAUCUACUUUUUCGUGGGGGAUAACGUAGGGAAACUUACGCUAAUACCGCAUACGACCUACGGGUGAAAGCAGGGGAUCUUCGGACCUUGCGCGAUUGAAUGAGCCGAUGUCGGAUUAGCUAGUUGGCGGGGUAAAGGCCCACCAAGGCGACGAUCCGUAGCUGGUCUGAGAGGAUGAUCAGCCACACUGGAACUGAGACACGGUCCAGACUCCUACGGGAGGCAGCAGUAGGGAAUAUUGGACAAUGGGCGCAAGCCUGAUCCAGCCAUACCGCGUGGGUGAAGAAGGCCUUCGGGUUGUAAAGCCCUUUUGUUGGGAAAGAAAAGCAGCAGGUUAAUACCCCGCUGUUCUGACGGUACCCAAAGAAUAAGCACCGGCUAACUUCGUG